Molecule: ribosomal RNA, 502 nt
Filed under: uncultured eukaryote
Lineage: Eukaryota
Description: eukaryotic LSU rRNA
Rfam family: Eukaryotic large subunit ribosomal RNA
Source: RNAcentral
GCAACGAAGUGGCUCCAGGAUAGCGAACGCUGGAAUGGGUGGGACGUCUUCAUCGGCUUUCCUUGAAUAAUUAACAAUUAACUCAGAACUGAAGCGGACAAGGGGAAUCCGACUGUUUAAUAAAACAUAGCAUUGUGAUGGCCUGAAAAGGUGUUGACACAAUGUGAAUUCUGCCCAGUGCUUUGAAUGUCAAAGUGAAGAAAUUCAACCAAGCGCAGGUAAACGGCGGGAGUAACUAUGACUCUCUUAAGGUAGCCAAAAUGCUUGUCUCAAAGAUUAAGCCAUGCAAGUGUAAGUUUAGUUGUCAAACAGUGAAACUGCGAAUGGCUCAUUAAAUCAGUUAUAGUUUAUUGAUGCUAUAGGUCGUAAGGCCACUACAUGGAUAUCUGUAGUAACAUAGAGCUAAUACAUGCAAUAUAGUCUGACUUUUUGGAAGGUACUAGCACUUAUUAGAUAUUAAACCAAUACUUCGUAAGAAGUUUUAUGGUGAUUCAUAGUAACU